GCCUGGGUGGCUCAGUCGGUUAAGCACCUGACUUCGGCUCAGGUCAUGAUCUCACAGUUUGUGAGUUGGAGCCCCAUCUCAGGCU
Molecule: transfer RNA, 85 nt
Filed under: Felis catus (domestic cat)
Lineage: Eukaryota; Metazoa; Chordata; Mammalia; Carnivora; Felidae
Rfam family: tRNA
About the family: Transfer RNA (tRNA) molecules are approximately 80 nucleotides in length.
Source: Rfam by way of RNAcentral